GACGAACGCUGGCGGCGUGCUUAACACAUGCAAGUCGAACGCUGAAGCUCAGCUUUUGUUGGGUGGAUGAGUGGCGAACGGGUGAGUAACACGUGAGUAACCUGCCCCCUUCUUUGGGAUAACGCCCGGAAACGGGUGCUAAUACUGGAUAUUCACUGGUCUUCGCAUGGGGGCUGGUGGAAAGGGUUUUUCUGGUGGGGGAUGGGCUCGCGGCCUAUCAGCUUGUUGGUGGGGUGAUGGCCUACCAAGGCUUUGACGGGUAGCCGGGCUGAGCGGGUGACCGGUCACAUGGGGACGGAGAUACGGCCCAGACUGGUACGGGAGGCAGCAGUUGGGAAUAGUGCGCAAUGGGGGCAAGCCAGAUGCGGCGGAGCCGCGAGAGGGAUGGGGCCGUCGGGUUGUGAACCUCUUUCGCUCAUGGUGAAGCCGCAACAAUGGUUGUGGUGAGGGUAGUGGGUAAAGAAGCGCCGGCUAACUACGUG
RNAcentral lists this ribosomal RNA (482 nucleotides) under uncultured bacterium. RNAcentral describes it as "partial 16S ribosomal RNA". It matches the Rfam family "Bacterial small subunit ribosomal RNA", at positions 28 to 507 of the family's 1533-position model. The record is from RNAcentral.